This 29-nucleotide non-coding RNA is filed under the name Bombyx mori (domestic silkworm). Lineage: Eukaryota; Metazoa; Arthropoda; Insecta; Lepidoptera; Bombycidae. The record is from RNAcentral.
UCACCGGGAGCGCCCACGGCUGCAGUUUC